CGCGUAGGCGGUGCGGUAAGUCUGAUGUGAAACCUCCAGGCUCAACUUGGAGCUGGCAUCAGAUACUGCCGUGCUAGAGUGCGGGAGAGGAGAGUGGAAUUCCUGGUGUAGCGGUGAAAUGCGUAGAUAUCAGGAGGAACACCGGUGGCGAAGGCGGCUCUCUGGACCGCAACUGACGCUGAGGCGCGAAAGUCGGGGGAGCAAACAGGAUUAGAUACCCUGGUAGUCCCGACCGUAAACGAUGAACACUUGGUAUAGCGGGUAUCGAAUCCCGCCGUGCCGGAGCUAACGCAUUAAGUGUUCCACCUGGGGAGUACGGUCGCAAGGCUGAA
RNAcentral lists this ribosomal RNA (332 nucleotides) under uncultured bacterium. Its description in RNAcentral is "bacterial SSU rRNA". It matches the Rfam family "Bacterial small subunit ribosomal RNA", at positions 568 to 898 of the family's 1533-position model. The record is from RNAcentral.